AACGUAGGAGGCAAGCGUUAUCCGGAGUUACUGGGCGUAAAGCGCGCGCAGGUGGUGUACUAAGUGGGGCGUGAAAGCUCCCGGCUAAACCGGGAGAGGACGAACCAUACUGGUAGACUAGAGUGGUGCAGAGGACAAUGGAAUUCGGGGUGUAGCGGUGAAAUGUGCAGAGAUCCCGAGGAACACCAGAGGCGAAGGCGGUUGUCUGGGCACACACUGACACUGAGGCGCGACAGCGUGGGGAGCGAACGGG
This 253-nucleotide ribosomal RNA is filed under the name uncultured bacterium. Its description in RNAcentral is "partial 16S ribosomal RNA". It matches the Rfam family "Bacterial small subunit ribosomal RNA", at positions 524 to 776 of the family's 1533-position model. The record is from RNAcentral.